UGCUGUGUUUAAGAAUUGGAGUUCAGGUAAAUUCCCAGUUGUGGCCCAGAUGAGGAGAACAGAAAUGGAGUAACUGCAGUUGAAGAUUAGCCUUGGAUACAUUUUUCUGAUCUUUGAAGUACACUUUUUAAGUAGAUCUGUGAUAACUCAGGGAUAAGAAAAAGAGAGGGAGACAGAAAAGCAAAAGUGCCUGCAAUACCAGAGCACCUGCUUUAUUAAAUCUUCCCCAGGGAGGUUCAUUAUUAAGCUCUGGAAUAUAAGAUCUUACUAUAAAUGGCAGAUAGGAACCUGUACUCUCUUCACUUGUAAUAUGCAUAUUUUACUGAUUUCUUAUUAAAAUCAAAUUUACCAAUCAGCUUAUGCACAAAAAUAUACUUCUUUGUAGAAUUUUAUGGGUGGAUACAGCAUAUUAAAUUGUACGGGAAAUGUUCACAUAUUCAUUAAUAAAGA
This is a long non-coding RNA of Mustela erminea (ermine), 450 nucleotides long. RefSeq lists it as uncharacterized. Lineage: Eukaryota; Metazoa; Chordata; Mammalia; Carnivora; Mustelidae. The transcript is spliced from 3 exons. The record is from RefSeq and is a predicted model, not a curated record.